GAAACGGUGGCUAAUACCGCAUAACGUCGCAAGACCAAAGAGGGGGACCUUCGGGCCUCUCACUAUCGGAUGAACCCAGAUGGGAUUAGCUAGUAGGCGGGGUAACGGCCCACCUAGGCGACGAUCCCUAGCUGGUCUGAGAGGAUGACCAGCCACACUGGAACUGAGACACGGUCCAGACUCCUACGGGAGGCAGCAGUGGGGAAUAUUGCACAAUGGGCGCAAGCCUGAUGCAGCCAUGCCGCGUGUAUGAAGAAGGCCUUCGGGUUGUAAAGUACUUUCAGCGGGGAGGAAGGCGAUGUGGUUAAUAACCGCAUUGAUGACGUACCCGCAGA
This 335-nucleotide ribosomal RNA is filed under the name Pantoea sp. B4A. RNAcentral's name for it is "bacterial SSU rRNA". It matches the Rfam family "Bacterial small subunit ribosomal RNA", at positions 153 to 485 of the family's 1533-position model. Lineage: Bacteria; Pseudomonadati; Pseudomonadota; Gammaproteobacteria; Enterobacterales; Erwiniaceae. The record is from RNAcentral.